This 467-nucleotide ribosomal RNA is filed under the name uncultured bacterium. Its description in RNAcentral is "partial 16S ribosomal RNA". It matches the Rfam family "Bacterial small subunit ribosomal RNA", at positions 28 to 506 of the family's 1533-position model. The record is from RNAcentral.
GACGAACGCUGGCGGCGUGCUUAACACAUGCAAGUCGAACGGAAAGGCCCUGCUUUUGUGGGGUGCUCGAGUGGCGAACGGGUGAGUAACACGUGAGUAACCUGCCCUUGACUUUGGGAUAACUUCAGGAAACUGGGGCUAAUACCGGAUAGGAGCUCCUGCUGCAUGGUGGGGGUUGGAAAGUUUCGGCGGUUGGGGAUGGACUCGCGGCUUAUCAGCUUGUUGGUGGGGUAGUGGCUUACCAAGGCUUUGACGGGUAGCCGGCCUGAGAGGGUGACCGGCCACAUUGGGACUGGGAUACGGCCCAGACUCCUACGGGAGGCAGCAGUGGGGAAUAUUGCACAAUGGGCGGAAGCCUGAUGCAGCAACGCCGCGUGCGGGAUGACGGCCUUCGGGUUGUAAACCGCUUUCGCCUGUGACGAAGCGUGAGUGACGGGAAUGGGUAAAGAAGCACCGGCUAACUACGG